RNAcentral lists this unclassified non-coding RNA (148 nucleotides) under uncultured Capnodiales. RNAcentral describes it as "sequence contains ITS2". Lineage: Eukaryota; Fungi; Ascomycota; Dothideomycetes; Capnodiales. The record is from RNAcentral.
CACCACUCAAGCCUGGCUUGGUAUUGGGCGCCGCGGACACCCCGCGCGCCUUAAUGUCUUCGGCCGAGUCCGCCCGUCUCUAAGCGUUGUGGCAAUCAGUCCGCUUGCGAGAUGGGAUGGCGCCGCGCCGUUAAACCUCUUCAAUCAA